Molecule: long non-coding RNA, 2158 nt
Filed under: Triticum aestivum (bread wheat)
Lineage: Eukaryota; Viridiplantae; Streptophyta; Magnoliopsida; Poales; Poaceae
Description: long non-coding RNA (TAES_LNC016087)
Source: RNAcentral
AACAAUCUUGACUAUCCGUCAUGUUAUGUCCAACACGCGGUCCGACAAAAACCCGCCCCCCACAACACACAUUUCUCUUUUCUUGCCGGACCCUCCCCUUCCCGCUCGGUUUUCAGCCAUAGCAGGACAUUUCUCGCUAUGCUCUCCUUUCAAACCGUACGACACCCACCUCAUCUUCGCCAUCACGACCCCUUUCUGUCGCACCAAGUUCUAGUGUAGAUUCACUCAUUUUUCUUCAUAUGUAGGCUGUGUUUGGUUGAGCUUUUGGAGCCAACUUCUGGCUUUUGGAAGUUAAAAGCUAACCAAAGGGUGAAAAGAAGAAGCAGAAGUUGCAAAAGUUACAGCUUCUCCGUAGUGUAUUUCUCGCAGCCGGUGCACCCCCAACUUCAGCAUGGCGUUUUUAGCUGUCCCCUCAAAAUUGGAAUGUAUUUACCCACCAUGCCACUCCCAAGUCAUACCCCUUCGUUCUUUUUUUCUCAUUGCAUCAGAGGAAACAGACAGAACAGGCUCGAGUCCCGCUCGACCCGACGACCUGCGCGCAUCGGCAGCCUAGGGUUUGGCCGCCGCCGCCGCCUCCGCUGGCCGCCGGCCGUCGCCGCCGCCGCCCCUGCCUCCGCGGCUCACUACGGCGACACUCCACAUCCGGCAGGUAUAGUUUUCCUUCCUUUCUCCUUCCUCCCUCCACCCUCCUCCCUCUGUCCUCCCUCAUCCCGUGGCGGUGGCCGGCCGGCGGUCCGAUGGCUCCGGCACCGGUGCACCGGCCCUUCUCCUCCUUACUCCUACCUCCCUCCUCGGCUCCUCCCUUCCUUUGCCCCCUAUGGUGGAGGUCAGGCCGUCCCAUGCCUCCUCAAUCUGGUAUCCGUGAGGGACGGGGCAGGUUCGGCCGUCCGGCGGCGCCGAUGCCGGUGAACUGGGACUCCUUCCUCCUCUCUCCUCCCUCCACCCUCCAUCACUCGUCCCCAUCCAUCCUCUUCCAAAAAAAUUUAUCUGUUCAUGCAUAUAUAUUUUUCUGUUUUUUUGUGAUGUGAUGAUUAAUAGCCAUAGAUUGUAAUCUGUUAUUACAGUAUCAUUAGUACUUGCUGCAUAUUGCUACUCUCUAUGCAUUUUCAAGAUUAUGUAUGAAUGGAUUAGCCAGCAAUGGCCCAAUUUUGUCAUGGUUUAUGUCUUGUGCUACAUAAUUGCUUGAUGCACAUAUUGAGCUGUCAUUGGCCAGCAGUGCCACAUUAAAGUUUUUGAUAGAUGUGAUGCCGAUGAUGAGUAUGUACUUCCAGUGCUACGACGGGAGGUGGCAUGAACACAAGCAGAUCCGGUUGAAGAUGAGGAGAACGAAUAUAGCAUGGCAAUAUUCGUAGUAGGACAGCUCAUGCUUGUCUAGCGAUGGCAACAUAAGUUUAGCUAUGUCGAUGGAGGUCAUCAUCAUGUGAACCAUACAUGUCUUGUAUGGUGCAUGUCUUUGUAAUAAUAUUAUGGGAGCAUUAUCUAUAUAAAUGUAUGCAACAUCAAAGUAUAGUUGUUCAAUUGUGUAUGUGUUACUAUAAAUUGCUUACAUUGUCAUAUUUUUUUUCUAUGUCAAAUGAUCGUCCAAUUCCCUACAAAUGUACAUGUCACUACUUUAAGGUCAAUUAGCAUAUAAACAUAUUCACUCAGCUGCCAGGGGCAUUACAGACAAUUUACAACCAAAUCUACAGUUUCACAGUCGUUUUAACCAAACAGCCUCCAGCUUUUCUACAGCAGCAUUUUCACAGCAGCUUUUCCACAGCAGCUUUUCCACAGCUGCUUUUCCAGAAUCUGCAGCUCAACCAAACACAGCCGUAGUCCAUAUUAGAAUUCCUAAAAAGACAUAUAUUUAGAAACGGAGGGAGUAGCAUGCUAGCCAAAAUCUUGUUACAUGAGAAACACUAAUAACUGGGUCACUUUUAUGGGAAAAUGGCUUCAAUAAAUGCUUCUGCAUCAAAAGGUUGGAGAUCUUCCACCCCUUCGCCGACGCCAACAAACUUGGCUAGAACUCCAAGUUCGUCUAUGAACACUCACCUGAGACAGGAUUCAGGUCAGCAAGUUUAGUUGUCGUUUAUUUAAGAUCCAGGACUGGAAUUUGUACUGUUACAAUAAAGCACUGGAAAUCGCCUGUACCACACAACCAACACGAGCAGUCCCGUCU